CCACUACCUCCUGAGUCCUGGCAUUACAGGUUAGCACCACCAAGCCUGUUAUGUUUUGUUUUGUUCUUAACGUCCCCAGCAACAUGGAGUGAAUGGCAGAGCCCCGUGCACCAAAUCCUUGCGCCAGACGGAGACAUUGGAGCAAGCUGAAGAACCUGCAUUUGCAUGGUAAGCCCGAGUGUGAGGAUGUGGCAGUCAGAGGGACGCAGCCAACUUCAGUCCUCAUUCAAGAUGCAGGAGCUCAUUGGAACCGGGUGGACUGGUAGGAAUAGUACAACCAGUGUGUCCUGUCUGACUGCCCCUUUUCUUGUCUCUUCUACUUCAUGAAGUCUUUAAAGAGCCUGGAAAUGAAGGAAAGCAUCCGGGACUGGACAAUGAGGUUCAAGACAAAGCCAGCUUCAGUGAUGCCGGCCCUCACCAUGGAAGGGGACGUGGACAGAAUCCACCAGCAAUUAAUCAGGCCAGCAUCCAUUCAGCCCCAGAUGUGCAGAAUACAGAACACUAUGAACAAAGUCUAAUGUGCAUGAAGUAUAGCGAGU
RNAcentral lists this long non-coding RNA (539 nucleotides) under Mus musculus (house mouse). RNAcentral's name for it is "elncRNA-EC30". Lineage: Eukaryota; Metazoa; Chordata; Mammalia; Rodentia; Muridae. The record is from RNAcentral.